RNAcentral lists this long non-coding RNA (645 nucleotides) under Mytilus galloprovincialis (Mediterranean mussel). The record is from RNAcentral. Lineage: Eukaryota; Metazoa; Mollusca; Bivalvia; Mytilida; Mytilidae.
AUGAUAACCAUGAAAUCUUAGCAUUGACCUUUGUACCAUUAACAUGACAUCAAUCAAGGUCGGAUGGACGUGUAAAUGCCGGAAAGACUUGUACAUCUUGCAACCCAAACUCCGAACAGUGGUUGCGUUGCUUCGCUAAACUAUACAGUGUUAAAGUCAACUUAGCGUAGUAAAGAGGACGUAACCGCUGUUUCGGAGUUUGCUUGCAACCAUUACACCGAUAACCAUGAAAACAUAAAAUUGACUAAUAAAUCCGGAAAAUUGGUCAUUGAGUUCAAGCAAGAUGAUCCCUGCUAUGCAGAUAUGUGCACCUCCCAUUUAUUCCAUACACAAACUUUUAUUGACCUAUUGGUACUUGCAUCAGAUAACGGUCCAAACCGCAGUAAUUUAGCAUUUGCUAACGAAUCAUGAAAACAUCAGAUAACGGUCAAAACCGCAGUAAUUUAGCAUUUGACAAUGAAUCAUAAAAAUGAGGCGAAGGAUGGAUAAAACAAUCAAGACAUAUGAUAUAUACGACUUACAAUCGUCCAAUACAACACAUAUUAUAUACCUAUCAUUUAUUGUAUCUGGGAAAUAUAUCAGACAUUAAAAACUUUAAUUGCCAAUAAGCCAUGACAAUAAAGCCAUGGUCACACAAAACAAUUG